UACGUAGGUGGCAAGCGUUGUCCGGCAUUAUUGGGCGUAAAGCGCGCGCAGGCGGUCUUUUAAGUCUGCUGUGAAAGCCCCGGGCUCAACCGGGGAGGGUCAUUGGAAACUGGGUGACUUGAGUACUGAAGAGGAGAGUGGAAUUCCACGUGUAGCGGUGAAAUGCGUAGAUAUGUGGAGGAACACCAGUGGCGAAGGCGACUCUCUGGUCUGUAACGGACGCUGAGGCGCGAAAGCGUGGGGAGCAAACAGG
RNAcentral lists this unclassified non-coding RNA (253 nucleotides) under uncultured Bacillaceae bacterium. Its description in RNAcentral is "contains 16S-23S intergenic spacer region". It matches the Rfam family "Bacterial small subunit ribosomal RNA", at positions 524 to 776 of the family's 1533-position model. Lineage: Bacteria; Bacillati; Bacillota; Bacilli; Caryophanales; Bacillaceae. The record is from RNAcentral.